RNAcentral lists this long non-coding RNA (2749 nucleotides) under Mytilus galloprovincialis (Mediterranean mussel). Lineage: Eukaryota; Metazoa; Mollusca; Bivalvia; Mytilida; Mytilidae. The record is from RNAcentral.
UUCUAUAAUUGAAGUAUCCUUAAGACAAAACUCAGAUUUACUGAAACUUUUUUUUACAGAUGUUUAAUUUGACACAUUAUGAUCAUUUCACCAGGGCGAGCUGAUAUUCGAGCUGAUAAAGUCAGUAUCAAAAAAUAAAAUGCCAUUAUUCUUUUUAUCGGCAAUCUGUCGUAACUCUAUGCUUUUUGUAAAGGAUAUGAAGUUAAUUGAAAUAAUAAGUAAAACUACUGUUACGCGUAGAAAACGUUGAACAUGUGAUGUUGCUGCACUGAUACUGCACUGAUACAUGACGUCAUUGCCUAAUAUUUUCGAAUAUCAAGUCCUGUCCAUGAUCGUCCAUGAUAUUGAAAAUAUUAGGCAGUAAGAUCAAAGGGAAAAUGUUCUAAUUGCCGAUAAAUUAACGUUCUAAUCAUAACUUUCUUGCAUUUAAGUAUUAAGUUUACAACAUUGAUAUUAUUAGGAUUUAAAUACUUUUAAUUUUUAAUAGUUUAUGUCUAAUGUCCUUGGUACAUGAAAUUUAAAUUAGUUUUUUUUCUCCCGCAAAAAGUAAAAUAACCAAAAAAUACAUAGUUAUUGAAGAAAAUUCAAAACAGAAAGUCCCUUAUCAAACUCAAACAUGUGAAAUGAAUGGAUAACGACUGUCACAUUCCUGACCUUUGCUGCAUCAAUAUAAACAGUACUUGAAGAUAUGUGAAUGACCCAAAAAAUUAAGAAUAACAGUAUUGUGUUUGAAGAGUUGCCAUGGUUAAUUGGUUAACUCCCAACCUCUACCAUUGAAUUGAUAGUAGACACUAUACAAUCUAAUUGUCUAUAAAUAUUAUAUUAUAUCAGUAUUAGAAAAAUAUAGAGAGAAUAUACAAUAAAGAUAUUAUUGAUUUAUGCUGUGAUUUUGGUUUGAAAAUUAACAAUGUAUUACUAAUUAUAUUACAUAAUUACAAGGAUGUUUCCAACCAGUAUAAUGCUUUGUCAAAGGAAAAGCCAUGAGAAACAAAUAAUUACUUUUGGAGUGUCUCUGUAUUAUAUGUUGAGGCAAUGUAGAUAAGAAAUCCAUUAAUUUAUAGAGUCUUAUGUGUUUACAUAUAGAAUUUCAUAAUAGUUUUACUAUUAUGCAUUGCUUGCUUUUGUUUCCUUUUAACAUAUUUGUUUUAUUUGUUUUUUGUUAAAUUCUAGUCUCAAUAAUUAUGCAUAUUAUGCAAUUUAUAUGCUUGUCUUUUUAUGUGGCUGAUUGACAGAAUCUUGCAGUGUGAAAACCUUUGUUUGGGAGAGGGGCCUGGACAAAUUCAGUUUGCAUUGAAUUCACUGUAAUUAAGUAGCAGCAGAAAAAUAUCAAUUGUUAUUUGCCUUUUUUGUGUGUCUUGAAAAAAUAAAUACCUUUAGUCUUUACACUAGGACUUAUUCAAGAUUAAAAUUGUAUUUAUUUUUUUCAAUUUUUACAAGUUUUAAUUUGUACAAAUUCCUUUCAAUAAGUUGUCUAUUUAUGUUAUUUGUUAAAAUAUAAUAUUUGAUCUCAAAUGGUUAAUUGUUGCUCUUCCUCAUCUUACAUGUACCUUAUAACCAAUAACUAAAUUCAUAGUCAUGUAUUUCUACAAACUAACUGGAAACAAAAUGUUAAAUGCAAAGACUAUGUAUCAACAAUCUUCAUGACACUUACUAAAUAUUUAAACAUUUAUAAAUAAUUUUGCGGUAAAGUAGUCGUCCUAAAUUUUUUUUAAUACAGAUAAGAUGAAAUUAAUAAAUUCAAAAAAUAACAAUAAAAGUUAAAUGUGAAAUAUCAGUGUAAACAUAAAAGCAGUUUCAUUGAUUUUUCUAAAAAAAAAAUAUACAUGUGUAUUUACAAUUUUUACAAGAAUAAAGUACAUUAUUUUUAUGAAAUACAAACAAUAUGUAUUUUGACUCAAUCUAAAAUCUAUUAUCAUGAUAAUUCAAUUUUUAUCAAGAAGUUAAAAUUUAAGGGGGUGACAAAAAAUCGUUUGAAAACCCACCCAUAUUCACAUUUAUACUUAAUAACAGCAGUUUUAUUUAAUAAUAACACAUGUUAACCAAAAGAACAUUGAAUUGUGGUAGACUUAACAAUUUUCUCAAAUCUCCUGAAACAGAAAAAGUGGAGUACAUUUGUAUUUACUAUAGCAAGACAUGCCAGAAACCAUGAUUAAUACAUGUGCAUAGGGAAACCAUGUUACCGGUGAUGGGAUUAAAAGCCUGGAUAAACUUAUAUCACAACAAAGUGGAAAAAUCUGAACAAGCAUGUGAAAAAAACAGAUUUUACCUAUAAACAAAACAAAUGUGGUUAGCAUGAAGCCUAUUUGAAGGGUACACAACAGAAUUAAACGUAGAAGUACUGUUUGACAAAAUCUUUUUUCAGAAUUGUACUCAAUACAAUCCUUAAACAAAUUCAAUAUUUUUUCUGGGGAGGGUGGGGCAUCAAUUUGCAGUUUUAGACUUUAUGAAAAUGAUUUACUGACGCUAGAAAUACAAAACUGAACACAAGUAGAAUGUGUUUCAAUACUUUUAUGAUUGAUACAAACCUUUCAUAGGAAUAGCAUGCAUCCUUAAAAAUUAAAGAAAACUGUAAAGUCAGGUUGAGGUUUUUUUAUACAGUCUGUCAUUCAGAAAUAAUUCAUGAUAUUUUAUCAGUUUUUUAUAUGCCAAUCAAUUUAGAACAUAAUGAUUUCUUUAUUAUUUAUAGUGCUUUUUUUUGUUGAUUGUUGUACCAGGAUUUUUGCCACAAUACAUAAUUAUGUUAUAGGUA